AGUCCGUUGGUCUAGUGGUAUGACGUUCGCUUCACAGAAUGAACACAGUUCAAUGCGCGAAAGGUCCUGGGUUCGAUCCCCUGACGGACUA
Coniosporium tulheliwenetii is the source of this 91-nucleotide non-coding RNA. The record is from the annotation of a GenBank genome assembly. Lineage: Eukaryota; Fungi; Ascomycota; Dothideomycetes.